Molecule: long non-coding RNA, 650 nt
Organism: Bufo bufo (common toad)
Lineage: Eukaryota; Metazoa; Chordata; Amphibia; Anura; Bufonidae
Exons: 2
Source: RefSeq, a predicted model, not a curated record
CACAGCGUAUACCAGAGGGUGUAAUAACACAGCGUAUACCAGAGGUAGUAAUAACACAGCGUAUACCAGAGGGUGUAAUAACACAGCGUAUACCAGAGGGUGUAAUAACACAGCGUAUACCAGAGGAUGUAAUAACACAGCGGAUACCAGAGGGUGUAAUAACACAGCGUAUACCAGAGGGUGUAAUAACACAGCGUAUACCAGAGGGUGUAAUAACACAGCGUAUACCAGAGGGUGUAAUAACACAGCGUAUACCAGAGGGUGUAAUAACACAGCGUAUACCAGAGGGUGUAAUAACACAGCGUAUACCAGAGGGUGUAAUAACACAGCGUAUACCAGAGGGUGUAAUAACACAGCGUAUACCAGAGGGUGUAAUAACACAGCGUAUACCAGAGGGUGUAAUAACACAGCGUAUACCAGAGGGUGUAAUAACACAGCGUAUACCAGAGGUAGUAAUAACACAGGGUAUACUAGAGGUAGUAAUAACACAGCGUAUACCAGAGGGUGUAAUAACACAGCGUAUACCAGAGGGUGUAAUAACACAGCGUAUACCAGAGGGUGUAAUAACACAGCGUAUACCAGAGGGUGUAAUAACACAGCGUAUACCAGAGGGUGUAAUAACACAGCGUAUACCAGAGGGUGUAAUAACA